AUUGAACGCUGGCGGUAGGCCUAACACAUGCAAGUCGAACGAGUGGCGGACGGGUGAGUAAUGUCUGGGAAACUGCCUGAUGGAGGGGGAUAACUACUGGGAAACGUAGCUAAUACCGCAUACCAUCGGAUGUGCCCAGAUGGGAUGAGCUAGUAGGGGGGGUAACGGCUCACCUAGGCGACGAUCCCUAGCUGGUCGGAGAGGACGACCGGCCACAUUGGAACUGAGACACGGUCCAGACUCCUCCGGGAGGAAGCAGUGGGGAAUAUUGCAAAAUGGGCGCAAGCCUGAUGCAGCCAUGCCGGGUGUAUGAAGAAGGCUUUCGGGUUGUAAAGUACUUUCAGCGGGGAGGCGUUACCCGCAGAAGAAGCACCGGCUAACUCCGUGCCAGCAGCCGCGGUAAUUC
Molecule: ribosomal RNA, 406 nt
Filed under: uncultured bacterium
Lineage: Bacteria
Description: partial 16S ribosomal RNA
Rfam family: Bacterial small subunit ribosomal RNA
Source: RNAcentral